This 464-nucleotide ribosomal RNA is filed under the name uncultured bacterium. RNAcentral's name for it is "bacterial SSU rRNA". It matches the Rfam family "Bacterial small subunit ribosomal RNA", at positions 28 to 507 of the family's 1533-position model. RNAcentral also lists the same sequence under 1 other name. The record is from RNAcentral.
GACGAACGCUGGCGGCGUGCUUAACACAUGCAAGUCGAGCGGAAAGGCCACUUCGGUGGUACUCGAGCGGCGAACGGGUGAGUAACACGUGAGUAAUCUGCCCUUGGCUUUGGGAUAGCCACCGGAAACGGUGAUUAAUACCGAAUAUGACACAUGGUCGCAUGGUUGUGUGUGGAAAGUUUUUUCGGCCAGGGAUGUGCUCGCGGCCUAUCAGCUUGAUGGUGAGGUAAUGGCUCACCAUGGCUUCGACGGGUAGCCGGCCUGAGAGGGUGACCGGUCACACUGGGACUGAGACACGGCCCAGACUCCUACGGGAGGCAGCAGUGGGGAAUAUUGGACAAUGGGCGGAAGCCUGAUCCAGCAACGCCGCGUGGGGGAUGACGGCCUUCGGGUUGUAAACCUCUUUCGCCUAGGACGAAGCGCAAGUGACGGUACUAGGUAAAGAAGCACCGGCCAACUACGUG